CCCAUUUAUGCAAAACCUGAGUUUGCUUUUUAGUGCUUAGCAGCGCAACAAGGCUUUUCUUUCGCUUCCGCGAGCCGAGUCUGUCUGGCUAAUGCUGGAGGAGCGUUUGGGAGCCAAGGGUCCCGCAGUCACUGCUGACUUCAAAGCUGUAACCUGAGUCUCUCUGCAACUCCACAAUAAAUCAAAUAAUCCAUUCAGUGGGUGUUCAGGAGGGGACUGAGACGGGCCAAAUGCAAAGACUGAGAAAACAAGCAAGUGCAGUAGGGGAGAGAAAGAAACAGACAAACUGCAAAGAGAAAAAGAGAAGGACAACAAAAGCUAAAGGAAGAUCAGAACAAACUGAGGAAAUACCGGAGAAACAUAUAAUUUGAUAACUGCAAUUAAAUAAAGAUCAACAAGUCCAAAUGCUAUGGGUCAUCAUCAAAGACCAAUAUCCUAAGGGUUCAUGCCACAAAAGCUGGAGGCUGUAAGAGGUUAAGAAAGGACAUCUCAGCGAGGGGGAGAGUGUCCUGCUGAGCCUGCUGAAGAAUGCAAGGUAUUUCUCAUCUUAAGAUUAUGCAGGAAUGCAAAGGAGCUGACUUUCCAAAGAUAACAUCAACCUUACAUCUUGUUUAUGGAGAUGUGCGAUUAUAACCCCGUCAGCCCCGUAAUCAUCAAGGGAUACUCCACCCCAAAAUGAAAAUUUUGUCAUUAAUCACUUACCCCCAUGUCGUUCCAAACCCGUAAAAGUUUCAUUCGUCUUUGGAAGACAAUUUAAGAUAUUUUGGAUGAAAACCGGGAGGCUUAUGACUGUCUCAUUGACUGCCAAGUAAAUUACACUGUCAAGGUCCAGAAAAGUAUGAAAGACAUCGUCAGAAUAGUCCACUUGCCAUCAGUGGUUCAAUCUGAAUUUUAUGAAGCGACGAGAAUACUUUUUGUAUGCAAAGAAAACAAAAAUAACAACUUUAUUCAACAAUUUGUCUCCUCUGUGUCUCUCUGCAUCACUGUAGCACCAUUUUGGACGAUAUUUGCUGCACGCAAGCAGCGUACGCUCUACCGUGUCAGCCAUGCUGCACAGAUGCGAUGGUUUCAUUCAAAUCAAAGCGUAAAUACACAUAGAAAAUGUAUCCUUGUGUCACGGCUGACACAGAACAGCAUACACAGUUUGUGUUCAGUGUAUAUUCUCCAAAAUGGUGCUAUGUGAUGCGGAGAGACACAGAGGAGACUAAUUGUUGAAUAAAGUCAUUUGUUUUCUUCGAGUACAAAGUGCUAUUUAAUAGCAGUCUUUCCUCAGAAAGCCACAUUUCCAGCAUUUGUAAAACUGCAUUUUUCCAUCUCAAAAAUAUAUCCAAAUUACGGCCUUUGCUCUCAAUGUCAAAUGCAGAAAUGUUAAUCCAUGCGUUUAUGACCUUAAGGUUAGAUUAUUGUAAUGCUUUAUUGGGUGGUUGUUCUGCAUGCUUAAUAAACAAACUCCAGCUGGUCCAAAAUGCAGCAGCUAGAGUUCUUACUAGAACCAGGAAGUAUGACCAUAUUAGCCCGGUUCUGACUGCACUGGUUACCUAUUAAAAACAUGAUAUAGAUUUUAAAAUCUUGCUUAUUACUUAUAAAGCCCUGAAUGGUUUAGCUCCUCAGUAUUUGAACGAGCUCUUGUUACAUUAUAGUCCUCCACGUCCGCUGCAUUCUCAAAACUCUGACAAUUUGAUAAUACCUAGAAUAUCAAAAUCAACUGCGGGUGGCAGAUCCUUUUCCUAUUUAGCGCCUAAACUCUGGAAAAACCUACCUAACAUUGUUCUGGAGGCAGCACACUCUGCAGUUUAAAUCUAGAUUAAAGACCCAUCUCUUAAACCUUGCUUAAACAUAACACACUAAUACGCUUAUAAUAUCCAAAUCUGUUAAAGGAUUUAUAAGCUGCAUUAAUUAGGUCAACCGGAUCCAUGAACACUUCCCACAACACCUGAUGUACUUGCUACAUCGUUAGAAGAAUGGCAUCUACACUAAUAUUAGUCUGUUUCUCUCUUAUUCAGAGGUCACCGUAGCCACCAGAUCCAGUCUGUAUCCAGAUCAGAGGGUCACUGCAGUCACCCGGAUCCAGUACGUAUCCAGACCAGAUGGUGGAUCAGCACCUAGAGAGGACCUCUACAGCCCUAAAUGUCAGUGGAGACCAGGACAACUAGAUGAGCUCCACAUACAGAUCCCCUGUAAAGACCUUGUCUCAGACGACCACCGGGACAAGACCACAGGAACAGAUGAUUCUUCUGCACAAUGUCACAUUGCUGCAGCCUGGAAUUGAACUGCUGGUUUUGUCUGGCCAGAGGAGAACUGGCCCCCCGACUGAGCCUGGUUUCUCCCAAGGUUUUUUCUCCAUUCUGUUACCGAUGGAGUUUUGGCUUCUUGCCGCUCUCGCCUCUGGCUUGCUUAGUUGAGGACACUUUAUUUACAGCGAUAUCGCUGACUUGAUUGCAAAUAAUUGCAAAGAUACUAUUUAAACUGAACUGAG
This is a long non-coding RNA of Cyprinus carpio carpio, 2476 nucleotides long. The record is from Ensembl. Lineage: Eukaryota; Metazoa; Chordata; Actinopteri; Cypriniformes; Cyprinidae.